GGUUAUGGCUCAGUGGUAGAGCUCGCCUAGCAUAUGUGAGGCCCUGGGUUCGAUCCUCAGCACCA
This 65-nucleotide transfer RNA is filed under the name Marmota monax (woodchuck). Its description in RNAcentral is "tRNA.Cys". Lineage: Eukaryota; Metazoa; Chordata; Mammalia; Rodentia; Sciuridae. The record is from RNAcentral.